UUUAAGGUCUAACCUGCCCAAUGAGGAUUUAAAUGGCCGCAGUAUUUUGACUGUGCAAAGGUAGCAUAAUUAUUAGUUUUUUAAUUGGAAGCUUGUAUGAAGGGUUGGACGAGAUAAAAUCUGUCUUUAUUUAAAUUACAAUAGAAGUUAACUUUUAAGUCAAAAGGCUUAAAUUUAUAUAAAAGACGAGAAGACCCUAUAGAUCUUUAUUUAGUUAUAGUUAUAAUAAUUUAGGGUUAUUUUAGUUUAUAUCUAUAAUUGAAUUUUAUUGGGGUAAUAUAAAGAUUAAUAAAAUUCUUUUUUUUAUUAACAUUGAUUUAUGAAAAUUUGAUCCAUUUAUAUUGAUUAUAAGAUUAAGUUACCUUAGGGAUAACAGCGUAAUUUUUUUGGAGAGCUCUUAUCGAUAAAAAAGUUUGCGACCUCGAUGUUGGAUUAAAAAUUAGCUUGGGUGCAGAAGCUCAAGAUUUUGGUCUGUUCGACCAUUAAAUUUUUACAUGAUCUGAGUUCAGACCGGCGUAAGCCAGGUCGGUUUCUAUCUUUAUUAUAAUAAAAUAUUUUAGUACGAAAGGACCAAAUAUUUAAUAUAUUUAUAUUUUAUUUUUGAAUAAUAUU
This 612-nucleotide ribosomal RNA is filed under the name Callytron malabaricum. Its description in RNAcentral is "partial 16S ribosomal RNA". It matches the Rfam family "Bacterial large subunit ribosomal RNA", at positions 1844 to 2748 of the family's 2925-position model. Lineage: Eukaryota; Metazoa; Arthropoda; Insecta; Coleoptera; Carabidae. The record is from RNAcentral.